This 1549-nucleotide ribosomal RNA is filed under the name Pseudoxenos sp. DPM-2011. RNAcentral's name for it is "partial 18S small subunit ribosomal RNA". The stretch from base 1 to 901 matches the Rfam family "Eukaryotic small subunit ribosomal RNA", at positions 57 to 605 of the family's 1831-position model. Lineage: Eukaryota; Metazoa; Arthropoda; Insecta; Strepsiptera; Xenidae. The record is from RNAcentral.
GUCUAAGUUCUAGCCAAAACCUUAUUUUUUUUUUUUAAAAAAAAAAGAAAUAAACGGUGAAACCGCGAAAAGCUCCUUAAAUCGGCUUUGGUUCCUUAGAUAGUAAGCAGAUGUGAUUUUUUUUUAAAAUGUAAAUUUUAAAAAAAAAGAAAAUCUGAAAUGGAUAACUGUGGUAAUUCUAGAGCUAAUACAUGAAAAUUAUUUCAGUGUGAAAAUUUUUUAAAAAGAAAUUUUUGCACGCUUUUAUUAGAGGAAAAAGCCAAUUUUUAUUAAAUAAAACAUUUAAAAAAUAUAUAUCAUUAAAUUGAUAAUUUUUUAAAAUGGUGUUGAAUCUGAAUAACUUGAAUGAAUUUCUUUUGAAAAAUAUUUAUCGUAUAGAAUAUUUUAUAAUUUUUAUUGAAUUUAAUUUUUUCAAAAUAAAUAUAAACAUUAAAAUUUAUUAUAUUUCGGUGUAAUUAUUUUAUGUUUAAAAUGAUAUUUAUUAGAAAAAAUAUUUUUAAAAAAAAAUAUAAAAUAUUUCGAUAAAUUUUUAAGUAAAAAGAAAUUUAAAGCAGACCGCAAAAAAAAUUUUNNNNNNNNNNNNNNNNNNNNNNUCAAUUGUCUGCCUUAUCAACUGUCGAUGGUAGAUUACAUGUCUACCAUGGUUGUAACGGGUAACGGGGAAUCAGGGUUCGAUUCCGGAGAGGGAGCCUGAGAAACGGCUACCACAUCUAAGGAAGGCAGCAGGCGCGCAAAUUACCCACUCCCGGCACGGGGAGGUAGUGACGAUAAAUAACGAUCCGGAACUCUAAUGAGUUUCCGUAAUCGGAAUGAGUACAAUUUAAAUCCUUUAACAAGGAGCAAAUGGAGGGCAAGUCUGGUGCCAGCAGCCGCGGUAAUUCCAGCUCCAUUAGCAUAUAUUAAAGUUGUUGCGUUUAAAAAGCUCGUAGUUGAAUCUGUAUCUCAUCAUGGUUAAUCGCUCAUAAUUUAAUUUAUGUAGUUUGAUUUAACAUUUUGUAUGAGAUAUAAAUACUGGUGGAUUUUUCGAAAUUGAAUUUUUAUAUUUAUAUUUUUUUUAAUAAAAUAUAAAUUGAAUUUUCAAUUUUUAAAAUUCGAUAUAAUAAUUUUUAAUAAAAAAAGUUUAUUAAUAAUUGUUUUAAAUAUUGUUUUUUUUUUAAUUAAAAAAUUAAUAUUUAAUUAAAUUUUUGAUAACUUUUUAUUAAAAAUGAAAUUAUAUUCUAAUAAAAUUAUUUUAUAUAAUUUUUAUUAGACCAGUAAAAUUACUUUGAACAAAUUAGAGUGCUUAAAGCAGGCAAAUUUAUAUGCCUUGAAUAUAACAGCAUGGAAUAAUAGAAUAUGAUCUCGAUACUGUUUUUUUAAAAUAUGAAAUUUUUUAUUCUUUUGAAUAAAAAUUUCAAAAAAAAUUGGCUUAAAGAAAUAAAAUUAUUACUUGAAAUUUAUAUUGCAAAGAAAACAUGGUUUUUUUUUGUUCAUUGCAAAAUUUUUUUGUAUUAAAAUGAUUUAAAAAAAAAACAAUAUUAUUUUGUAAAAUUUCAUGUAUUUAUUUCGA